RNAcentral lists this transfer RNA (67 nucleotides) under Marmota monax (woodchuck). RNAcentral's name for it is "tRNA.Ala". It matches the Rfam family "tRNA". Rfam says of the family: Transfer RNA (tRNA) molecules are approximately 80 nucleotides in length. Their secondary structure includes four short double-helical elements and three loops (D, anti-codon, and T loops). Lineage: Eukaryota; Metazoa; Chordata; Mammalia; Rodentia; Sciuridae. The record is from RNAcentral. RNAcentral also lists the same sequence under 1 other name.
GGUUGUAGCUCAGUGGUAGAGUGCUUGCCUAGCAUGUGUGAGGCACUGGGUUCGAUUCUCAGCACCA